UAUUGGUCAAUGGUCGGGAGACUGAACCAGCCUAGCCGCGUGAGGGAGGAAGGUACAGAGUAUCGUAAACCUCUUUUGUCAGGGAACAAAGGCGGGGACGUGUCCCCGGAUGAGUGUAGCUGAAGAAAAAGCAUCGACUAACUCCGUUCCAGCAGCCGCGGUAAUACGGAGGAUGCGAGCGUUAUCCGGAUUUAUUGGGUUUAAAGGGUGCGCAGGCGGUCUGUUAAGUCAGCGGUCAAAGCCCGGGGCUCAACCCCGGCCCGCCGUUGAAACUGGCAGUCUCGAGUUGGAGAGAAGUAUGCGGAAUGCGCGGUGUAGCGGUGAAAUGCAUAGAUAUCGCGCAGAACUCUGAUUGCGAAGGCAGCUUACUAAACUAUAACUGACACUGAAGCACGAAAGCGUGGGGAUCAAACAGG
RNAcentral lists this ribosomal RNA (416 nucleotides) under uncultured bacterium. RNAcentral's name for it is "bacterial SSU rRNA". It matches the Rfam family "Bacterial small subunit ribosomal RNA", at positions 362 to 776 of the family's 1533-position model. The record is from RNAcentral.